This 591-nucleotide long non-coding RNA is filed under the name Anser cygnoides (Swan goose). RNAcentral's name for it is "lncRNA (ENSACDG00005014918.1)". Lineage: Eukaryota; Metazoa; Chordata; Aves; Anseriformes; Anatidae. The record is from RNAcentral.
AAGCUGCACGGGCUGUGCCGGGUGAAGGCCAGGGACGACAACCAGCGACCGGCCAGCCUCGAUUUCCCCCCAGCCUCGGCCCCCCCGGGCCCCGACUCCCUGCACAGCUCCGGCGUCAGCGUCCUCCUGCACCGCGAGCUGCCCCAGAUCCCCGUCCCCGAGCCCCCGGCCCCCGACCAGACCUACUCCAACCUGCUCUUCGCCCCGCCGCGACGCCCGGCACAGGACACGGUCUACGAGUGCCUGGCGGUGGGGGGGGACGAUGCCCCCGCACCCCCUGCUCCCACGGGGACCCGGGUGUCCCCACCGCAGGCCAGGCGCGGGGCUGGUGACUACGCCUGCGUCCGCAAGGUGAAGAAGACGGCGCCCGGCGAGGAGCAGGAGGGGGCCGUGGCGGGGCCUCCCGCAGCCCCCCGGUGCUGGGAGGGCACGGGCAAUGCCCCCCCCCAGCUGAAGGUACGGUGCUGUGAGGGGCUCGCUGGGUGGGGGGCGGGGGGGGCGCAGAACACCGUCCCCAUAACGCCCCUGUCUGGAGAAGGGUAGCCAAAGGCUGCUCCGUUUUAACAGCAGCUUUUUUGGGGGGUGGGGGGC